Molecule: ribosomal RNA, 484 nt
Filed under: uncultured bacterium
Lineage: Bacteria
Description: partial 16S ribosomal RNA
Rfam family: Bacterial small subunit ribosomal RNA
Source: RNAcentral
AUUGAACGCUGGCGGCAGGCCUAACACAUGCAAGUCGAGCGGAUGAAGGGAGCUGGCCCCGGAUUUAACGGCCGGACGGGGGGGAAAGGCAGAGAUCUCUGCGGUGGUGGGGGGGAUCGCGUGGGGAAGCGCGCUAUUAUCGCGUAUGCGCUGUGGGGGAGAGAGGGGGGGAUUCGGAGAUCACGCUCUAUCAGAUGAGCCUAGGUCGGAUUAGCUAGUUGGUGGGGUAAAGGCCUACCAAGGCGACGAUCCGUAACUGGUCUGAGAGGAUGAUCAGUCACACUGGAACUGAGACACGGUCCAGACUCCUACGGGAGGCAGCAGCGGGGAAUAUUGGACAAUGGGCGAAAGCCUGAUCCAGCCAUGCCGCGUGUGUGAAGAAGGUCUUCGGAUUGUAAAGCACUUUAAGUUGGGAGGAAGGGCAGUAAGUUAAUACCUUGCUGUUUUGACGUUACCAACAGAAUAAGCACCGGCUAACUUCGUG